ACUACUUCAUUUGCUCAUUUCCAGGCCACUGCCUCGGCGGUCAGAAAUUAGCCAUCAACGUUAGCGCCAGGGGAUCUUCUCCUGCUCCUCAACCUUCUUCUCCGGCCCCUCAGCCCAGCGGUAGUACUCCCUCUCCGGUUCCUGCACCAGCACGGACACCGACACCGGCACCAGCACCAGCACCAGAACCAGCAACAACACCUACGCCAGCACCAGCAUCAGCACCAACACCAACACCGAGAUCAGCACCAACACCAGCUCCCACAAGACAGCCAGCGACUCAUGUUGUUGGAGGUGCUCUAGGAUGGACUGUCCCUCCCAACGCUUCUGUGGGUUACCAGAAUUGGGCUCGCAACAACAACUUUUCGGUCGGAGACAUU
This 380-nucleotide long non-coding RNA is filed under the name Citrus sinensis (sweet orange). RNAcentral's name for it is "long non-coding RNA (CSIN_LNC001818)". Lineage: Eukaryota; Viridiplantae; Streptophyta; Magnoliopsida; Sapindales; Rutaceae. The record is from RNAcentral.